RNAcentral lists this ribosomal RNA (474 nucleotides) under uncultured bacterium. RNAcentral's name for it is "bacterial SSU rRNA". It matches the Rfam family "Bacterial small subunit ribosomal RNA", at positions 43 to 524 of the family's 1533-position model. The record is from RNAcentral.
CAGGCCUAACACAUGCAAGUCGAACGGUGGCAGCAAUGUCAUAGUGGCGCACGGGUGCGUAACACGUAACUAACCUGCCCAGACCUGGGGGAUAGCCCGCCGAAAGGCGGAUUAAUACCGCAUAAGAUAAUAAGGUGGCAUCACCUAGUUAUUAAAGAUUUAUCGGGUUUGGAUGGGGUUGCGGGUCAUUAGCUAGUUGGUAAGGUAACGGCUUACCAAGGCGACGAUGACUAGGGGAGCUGAGAGGCUGGUCCCCCACACGGGCACUGAGAUACGGGCCCGACUCCUACGGGAGGCAGCAGUAGGGAAUAUUGGGCAAUGGGCGAGAGCCUGACCCAGCCAUGCCGCGUGCAGGAAGAAGGCUUUCUGAGUCGUAAACUGCUUUUGAUAGGGAAGAAUAACCAGUACGUGUACUGGGAUGACGGUACCUACAGAAUAAGCACCGGCUAACUCCGUGCCAGCAGCCGCGGUAAU